AUUGAACGCUGGCGGAAUGCUUUACACAUGCAAGUCGAACGGCAGCACGGGGGCAACCCUGGUGGCGAGUGGCGAACGGGUGAGUAAUACAUCGGAACGUGCCCAUGUCGUGGGGGAUAACGUAGCGAAAGCUACGCUAAUACCGCAUACGAUCUACGGAUGAAAGCGGGGGACCGUAGGGCCUCGCGCGAUUGGAGCGGCCGAUGGCAGAUUAGGUAGUUGGUGGGGUAAAGGCUCACCAAGCCUGCGAUCUGUAGCUGGUCUGAGAGAACGACCAGCCACACUGGGACCGAGACACGGCCCGGACUCCUACGGGAGGCAGCAGUGGGGAAUUUUGGACAAUGGGCGCAAGCCUGAUCCAGCCAUUCCGCGUGCAGGAUGAAGGCCUUCGGGUUGUAAACUGCUUUUGUACGGAACGAAAAGACUCUCUCUAAUACAGGGGGUUCAUGACGGUACCGUAAGAAUAAGCACCGGCUAACUACGUGCCAGCCGCCGCCGUAA
Molecule: ribosomal RNA, 501 nt
Filed under: uncultured bacterium
Lineage: Bacteria
Description: partial 16S ribosomal RNA
Rfam family: Bacterial small subunit ribosomal RNA
Source: RNAcentral